Molecule: non-coding RNA, 635 nt
Organism: Pelobates cultripes (western spadefoot toad)
Lineage: Eukaryota; Metazoa; Chordata; Amphibia; Anura; Pelobatidae
Source: the annotation of a GenBank genome assembly
UAACAACAUCGCAAUAAGUCAACUCUUGACAUCCCUUUACAGCAGCCGUUGAAUGAGAUGAGAUCCUUCACGGGAAAUCUAGCAAUAACAGGCUUAUUUACUAAAGCCACGAAUUGCCAUGACUUCAAAGCGAAUUUUGCAUUUUUUGACCAAUAUAGUAAAACUGAAUUAAUUUCCAAUUUAGCUGUUAUCGCCCUAAAUUUGAAAUUCGAUUUGAUGUUCACGUCAGUAAAUAACCCUGCAGAUGUAAUCAGAUCACGCGAUUACUCUACAGCAGUGAAGGCUAAAUUUAUCACUGCGGAUAUUUGUGAACAAUACUUCCUAUGAUGCACAGGCAGUUUUUAGGUUGGUAUUGCAUCAAGGGAAAUGUAGUCUUGGGUGGCAAUGGUAGCCAUUAUUGGUGUUUAUUGAUAAAAACCUUCUGACUCCUGUAAUGCUUCAUUGGAAGUGGCAUCCCGGAGACUUGUCAUCAUGUAUUUGUGCUGAAAUCAGCCCGAGAUCAGCCAUUUCUUUUGUAUGGAUGUCCAAUCCACCAAGAACAGGGAACAGGGCUGGAUUAAGAGCCCAUUAGGCCUGGUGCAGACAGUUAUGAUGGGCCUAAUUACAAAAUCUUAUCGACAGAAAACACUAAAACG